This 332-nucleotide ribosomal RNA is filed under the name uncultured eukaryote. RNAcentral describes it as "partial 18S ribosomal RNA". It matches the Rfam family "Eukaryotic small subunit ribosomal RNA", at positions 1470 to 1796 of the family's 1831-position model. The record is from RNAcentral.
CCCUUAGAUGUUCUGGGCCGCACGCGCGCUACACUGAUGAAUUCAACGAGCAUAUAACCUUGACCGAAAGGCCCGGGGAAACUCCGAAAUUUCAUCGUGAUGGGGAUAGACUAUUGUAAUUAUUAGUCUUCAACGAGGAAUUCCUAGUAAGCGCGAUUCAUCAGAUCGCGUUGAUUACGUCCCUGCCCUUUGUACACACCGCCCGUCGCUACUACCGAUUGAACGGUUUAGUGAGGGCCUCGGAUUGGUCUCGGCCCGCUCUUUACCGGGCGGCGCCGUUGGUCGAGAAGACGCUCGAACUUGAUCGUUUAGAGGAAGUAAAAGUCGUAACA